This 253-nucleotide ribosomal RNA is filed under the name uncultured bacterium. Its description in RNAcentral is "partial 16S ribosomal RNA". It matches the Rfam family "Bacterial small subunit ribosomal RNA", at positions 524 to 776 of the family's 1533-position model. The record is from RNAcentral.
UACGUAGGGUGCAAGCGUUAAUCGGAAUUACUGGGCGUAAAGCGUGCGCAGGCGGUGAUGUAAGACAGUUGUGAAAUCCCCGGGCUCAACCUGGGAACUGCAUCUGUGACUGUAUAGCUAGAGUACGGUAGAGGGGGAUGGAAUUCCGCGUGUAGCAGUGAAAUGCGUAGAUAUGCGGAGGAACACCGAUGGCGAAGGCAAUCCCCUGGACCUGUACUGACGCUCAUGCGCGAAAGCGUGGGGAGCAAACAGG